AUCCUCUUGUAGUUCAUGAGCUUGGUAAUUAAGUGUUCGCAUACAUCUGUGACAUGUGCCACCCUGGAACCUUGUUAUAAUGUUGGCACAUUACCCAUUUGACA
RNAcentral lists this small nucleolar RNA (104 nucleotides) under Macaca fascicularis (crab-eating macaque). Its description in RNAcentral is "Small nucleolar RNA U13 (ENSMFAG00000064179.1)". It matches the Rfam family "Small nucleolar RNA U13". The record is from Rfam by way of RNAcentral. RNAcentral also lists the same sequence under 1 other name. Lineage: Eukaryota; Metazoa; Chordata; Mammalia; Primates; Cercopithecidae.